UACAGAGGUCUCAAGCGUUGUUCGGAUUCAUUGGGCGUAAAGGGUGCGUAGGUGGCGUCGUAAGUGGGGUGUGAAAUCCCGGGGCUUAACCCCGGGACUGCAUUCCAUACUGCGGUGCUUGAGGACUGGAGAGGAGACUGGAAUUUACGGUGUAGCAGUGAAAUGCGUAGAGAUCCGGAGGAACACCAGAGGCGAAGGCGGCCUACUGGGCUGCACCUGACGCUGAGCCGCGAAAGCCAGGGGAGCGAACGGG
This 253-nucleotide ribosomal RNA is filed under the name uncultured bacterium. Its description in RNAcentral is "partial 16S ribosomal RNA". It matches the Rfam family "Bacterial small subunit ribosomal RNA", at positions 524 to 776 of the family's 1533-position model. The record is from RNAcentral.